GACGAACGCUGGCGGCGUGCUUAACACAUGCAAGUCGAGCGAUGAAAGCCUUAUGAACUAUUCGUAGUGAUUGGGGCCGGAUUAGCGGCGGACGGGUGAGUAACGCGUGAGCAACCUGCCUUAAACAACGGGAUAGCCUCGGGAAACCGGGAUUAAUACCGUAUGAGACCCCGCCUUAACACGAAGUCGAGGUUAAAGAUUUAUCGGUUUAAGAUGGGCUCGCGUCUGAUUAGCUAGUUGGUGAGAUAAAAGCCCACCAAGGCAACGAUCAGUAACCGGCUUGAGAGAGUGAACGGUCACAUUGGAACUGAGACACGGUCCAAACUCCUACGGGAGGCAGCAGUGGGGAAUAUUGCACAAUGGGGGAAACCCUGAUGCAGCGACGCCGCGUGAGCGAUGAAGGAAUUCGUUUCGUAAAGCUCUGUCCAAGGGGAAGAUAAUGACAGUACCCUUGGAGGAAGCCCCGGCUAAAUACGUGCCAGCCGCCGCUGUAA
This 494-nucleotide ribosomal RNA is filed under the name uncultured bacterium. RNAcentral describes it as "partial 16S ribosomal RNA". It matches the Rfam family "Bacterial small subunit ribosomal RNA", at positions 28 to 523 of the family's 1533-position model. The record is from RNAcentral.